AGUGAACGCUGGCGGUAGGCCUAACACAUGCAAGUCGAACGGCAGCACAGUAAGAGCUUGCUCUUACGGGUGGCGAGUGGCGGACGGGUGAGGAAUACGUCGGAAUCCUCUUUUUCGUGGGGGAUAACGUAGGGAAACUUACGCUAAUACAGCAUAAGGCCUACGGGUGAAAGCAGGGGAUCUUCGGACCUUGCGUGAUUGAAUGAGCCGAUGUCGGAUUAGAUAGUUGGCGGGGUAAAGGCCCACCAAGGCGACGAUCCGUAGCUGCUCUGAGAGGAUGAUCAGCCACACUGGAACUGAGACACGGUCCAGACUCCUACGGGAGGCAGCAGUUGGGAAUAUUGCACAAUGGGCGCAAGCCUGAUCCAGCCACACCGCGUGAGUGAAGAAGGCCUUCGGGUUGUAAAGUCCUUUUGUUGGGAAAGAAAAACAGCAGGUUAAUACCCCGCUGUUCUGACGGUACCCAAAGAAUAAGCACCGGCUAACUUCGUG
RNAcentral lists this ribosomal RNA (492 nucleotides) under uncultured bacterium. RNAcentral describes it as "partial 16S ribosomal RNA". It matches the Rfam family "Bacterial small subunit ribosomal RNA", at positions 29 to 507 of the family's 1533-position model. The record is from RNAcentral.